Molecule: ribosomal RNA, 468 nt
Filed under: uncultured bacterium
Lineage: Bacteria
Description: bacterial SSU rRNA
Rfam family: Bacterial small subunit ribosomal RNA
Source: RNAcentral
ACUCCUACGGGAGGCAGCAGUGAGGAAUAUUGGUCAAUGACGCAAGUCUGAACCAGCCAUGUCGCGUGCAGGAAGACUGCCCUAUGGGUUGUAAACUGCUUUUAUACGGGAAGAAAUAUAGCUACGUGUAGUUAUUUGCCGGUACCGUAUGAAUAAGCAUCGGCUAACUCCGUGCCAGCAGCCGCGGUAAUACGGAGGAUGCGAGCGUUAUCCGGAUUCAUUGGGUUUAAAGGGUGCGUAGGCGGAAGUAUAAGUCAGGGGUGAAAGUUUGUGGCUCAACCAUAAAAUUGCCUUUUGAUACUGUAUUUCUUGAGUACAUUUGAGGUAGGCGGAAUGUGUUGUGUAGCGGUGAAAUGCUUAGAUAUAACACAGAACACCGAUUGCGAAGGCAGCUUACUAAACUGUAACUGACGCUGAUGCACGAAAGCGUGGGGAUCGAACAGGAUUAGAUACCCUGGUAGCACAGAG